Prevotella sp. S7-1-8 is the source of this 82-nucleotide transfer RNA. It matches the Rfam family "tRNA". From Rfam's summary of the family: Transfer RNA (tRNA) molecules are approximately 80 nucleotides in length. The record is from Rfam. NCBI's taxonomy places the organism in Bacteria, Pseudomonadati, Bacteroidota, Bacteroidia, Bacteroidales, Prevotellaceae.
GCGCUUGUGGCGGAAUUGGUAGACGCGCCAGACUUAGGAUCUGGUGUUGCGAGACGUGCAGGUUCGAUUCCUGUCAGGCGCA